GCUGGCAGCUAGCUCUCUGCAACUCUCACAUGGUCACCCACUGGAGCUAAGUAGGGCUGCGCCCAGUCAGUACCUGGAAGUGAGACCACAUGGGAAAGCUAGGUUGCUGUUGGAU
RNAcentral lists this ribosomal RNA (115 nucleotides) under Danio rerio (zebrafish). The record is from RNAcentral. Lineage: Eukaryota; Metazoa; Chordata; Actinopteri; Cypriniformes; Danionidae.